RNAcentral lists this ribosomal RNA (465 nucleotides) under uncultured bacterium. RNAcentral's name for it is "partial 16S ribosomal RNA". It matches the Rfam family "Bacterial small subunit ribosomal RNA", at positions 28 to 507 of the family's 1533-position model. The record is from RNAcentral.
GACGAACGCUGGCGGCGUGCUUAACACAUGCAAGUCGAACGGAAAAGCCCUGCUUGCUGGGUACUCGAGUGGCGAACGGGUGAGUAACACGUGGGUAAUCUGCCCUUAACUUCGGGAUAAGCCUGGGAAACUGGGUCUAAUACCGGAUAGGAGCCAUUUUUAGUGUGAUGGUUGGAAAGUUUUUUCGGUGUAUGAUGUGCUCGCGGCCUAUCAGCUUGUUUGUGGGGUAAUGGCCUACCAAGGCGGCGACAGGUAGACGGCCUGUGAGGGUGGACGGCCAAAUUGGGACUGAGAGACGGCGCAGACACCUACGGGAGGCAGCAGUGGGGAAUAUUUCACAAUGGGCGCAAGCCUGAUGCAGCGACGCCGCGUGGGGGAUGACGGCCUUCGGGUUGUAAACACCUUUUGCUAGGGACAAAGCUUGUUGUGACGGUGCCUAGAUAAGAAGCACCGGGUAACUUCGUG